ACCGUUAUUUAUAAAUCUGGUAUGGUUCAAUGAAUUAAUAUUCGUGAGCAAGACAAAAUCUUUCGGAAUAACAUUGACCAGCAGUAUCAUCACCGUUUGACGUACCUCCUCCCCUUGUGUUUCAUACGCACAUGCUUUAGUUAGAGAAUUCCCGAGGAAUGCGUCAUUUACUUAGUAGCGUCUGUUCUCCAUAUUAGUAGCGGCUCUAAAUCCCCCCGCCCCUCUUCCCCCUGCCAUUCCUCAAGGACUGUUCUUGUUAUUCUCGUCUUGACUUGCUGCAGGGACUAUAAACAGUUAGUUAGCGAUGGCCCCACGACGAUACUGGAGGUGGAAGAGAGGCCUUACAAGCUACCUUAGCGAAACCACAAGCAACAAACCCUCAAUAAGCAAUAGACACUCGCAGGAAAAAGGACUUAAGGAAGAACGAUGAAAUGUUAUUGGAACUAUAGAAAUUGCAAGAACUACUAGUGGAGGGUGAUUUAGCUUUCAUGUGCGAUGGUGAUGGCGAUGAUGCUAUGUGCGUAGUUUAGGGGAGGGGCCAUGCAAGCAACCCUCGUUACAAUUUCACCGCAAUGAACAGUCAACGAGAAGAAGAAUAUCUGACCUAUUGAUUCAGACCCUCACCAGGAAAAAGGACUAUCGAUUGGAAGCUCGGGA
Molecule: long non-coding RNA, 657 nt
Organism: Anopheles coluzzii
Lineage: Eukaryota; Metazoa; Arthropoda; Insecta; Diptera; Culicidae
Exons: 2
Source: RefSeq, a predicted model, not a curated record